AUCCUUUAUGAGAGGCAAUUUCAUAGUCUAUGAAGUGUAUCUGAGACGUGAUUAUUGCUGGUUGAAAACUUAACCCAAUAUCCACUACUGGAUGACUUGAAAUACAGUCAGCUGUGGCAAUUUUAUUGGUCUUUCAGGAGA
Molecule: small nuclear RNA, 141 nt
Organism: Siniperca chuatsi (mandarin fish)
Lineage: Eukaryota; Metazoa; Chordata; Actinopteri; Centrarchiformes; Sinipercidae
Product: U4 spliceosomal RNA
Exons: 1
Source: RefSeq, a predicted model, not a curated record